CAAUAGCGUAUAUUAAAGUUGUUGCAGUUAAAAAGCUCGUAGUUGGAUUUCUGGUCGGAAGCUCCUGACCUCUGAUGAGCGUACAAGUGCGUCCUACCAUCCUUCUGUUAACCUUUAAGGCUUUCGCGGCUUUCUAGGGGCUCAGAUAUUUUACCUUGAGAAAAUUAGAGUGUUUCAGGCAGGCUAGCGCCGGAAUACAUUAGCAUGGAAUAAUGGAAUAGGACUUUUGCCUCUUCUGUUGGUCAUGAGGCUCGAGUAAUGAUUAAUAGGGAUAGUUGGGGGCAUUAGUACUUAACUGUCAGAGGUGAAAUUCUCGGAUUUGUUAAAGACUAACUUAUGCGAAAGCAUUUGCCAAGGAUGUUUUCAUUAA
This 370-nucleotide ribosomal RNA is filed under the name uncultured eukaryote. Its description in RNAcentral is "partial 18S ribosomal RNA". It matches the Rfam family "Eukaryotic small subunit ribosomal RNA", at positions 592 to 976 of the family's 1831-position model. The record is from RNAcentral.